This 391-nucleotide ribosomal RNA is filed under the name uncultured bacterium. RNAcentral describes it as "bacterial SSU rRNA". It matches the Rfam family "Bacterial small subunit ribosomal RNA", at positions 996 to 1393 of the family's 1533-position model. The record is from RNAcentral.
ACGGCCAGAGAUGGUCGCCCCCUUGUGGUCGGUGUACAGGUGGAGCAUGGUUGUCAGCUCGUGUCGUGAGAUGUUGGGUUAAGUCCCGCAACGAGCGCAACCCUUAUUAUUAGUUGCCAGCAUUCAGUUGGGCACUCUGGUCAGACUGCCGGUGACAAACCGGAGGAAGGCGGGGAUGACGUCAAAUCAUCAUGCCCCUUAUGACCUGGGCUACACACGUGCUACAAUGGGUGGUACAACGAGCAGCGAGACCGCGAGGUCAAGCGAAUCUCUAAAAGCCGGUCUCAGUUCGGAUUGAGGUCUGCAACUCGACCUCAUGAAGUCGGAGUCGCUAGUAAUCGCAGAUCAGCAACGCUGCGGUGAAUACGUUCCCGGGUCUUGUACACACCGA